This is a long non-coding RNA of Plodia interpunctella (Indianmeal moth), 770 nucleotides long. RefSeq lists it as uncharacterized. The record is from RefSeq and is a predicted model, not a curated record. The transcript has 3 exons. NCBI's taxonomy places the organism in Eukaryota, Metazoa, Arthropoda, Insecta, Lepidoptera, Pyralidae.
AUGAUUGGACAUUUGUUAUAAUUGGACAUUUUUAUUAUCGACACAGCAUAAAAUUUAGCAAUAUGGUUAAAUACAACAGCUUCGAUAUUCGACAAUAACUUUAACAGUUGUGAUUAUUAUUGUAUUGUCAGACUUAUCGAUAGACGAGAAGUCGUAUUGAGAUUAGAAGUCUUAUUGAUAUACCCAUUCACCAGAUAUCAACAUUGUGUCAAAUGCAAAAUCAUUAAUUAAAAAAAUACAGCGCAAAAACGCCACUUAAAGGGGCGGGGCGAAAAGGAUGGAUACAUGGUGGAACCGAUACCCCACUCGACUUUCGCAGCCCCGCGUAUCGUCAUCAUCACACAACCUUUGAUUGAGAAAUAACAAUAAGUUUCCUCGUUAUUUUUGCUUUUUUUUAUGAAACCCAAAUGAAGUGCUUGAAUCUCGCCAUGUCAUGUGUUGGACACGUGAAUGCUGGAAUAAUAAACCGAUUCGGACUGUGCUCAGACAAAAAUAACUACAAUCAAUAACACCUUCAAAGGCAUGAAUCUCGAGAAAUUUAUGUCUUACAGCGAACUACUGUUUGUAGUAUUCUUGGUAGUACUGGAAACAAGGCUGGAAAGAAUACCACGUCAACAGCAGUUUUUGAAGGCAGACGGAAAUCACGUUGGCCAAUGAUCUGCUCAACGGCAGCCCUUGAAGAUGAGACUCUGAAAAUUUCACUUACUUGGUUUCGGGUACGAUGGGAUGCUGUAGUAAUAGCAGUACGCUCCGAACCCCAGGAGGAUGGA